Molecule: long non-coding RNA, 923 nt
Organism: Drosophila eugracilis
Lineage: Eukaryota; Metazoa; Arthropoda; Insecta; Diptera; Drosophilidae
Exons: 3
Source: RefSeq, a predicted model, not a curated record
UUCGGAUCUCUCCCUAGCACUGAAGACUUUAAAGUGCGACAGAUCGCAGUGCAGACCGAAAUACAACUGACGGUGAAUGAAAACUUUUGCCAAGGCCGACGGCGCAGCGAUUGAGGCAGCAGCAGAGAGGCGUCCAAUAGCAAAGUCCAAUAGAUGCGAUACAGCCACACGGCGAAAUGGAGUCGCUAAUCCCGCUCAAUGCCGUCCCAUCCCGGCCAACGAAUCACUGUUCAUCGAACCGAGGCUAUAGCUAUCUCCAAGCCGAUGCAAAAUUACUCUCGAAUACAGAAACAUUGACUGGAACCGAAUUGGUAAUCAAAGCUGAGACAAGCCAAUAUCAAAAUGGGCAUACAAUUGCGCAAUUUCGUCGCUGCCAGUAAACUGACGGCUUCAACUUCUCCAUCUCGUAGUCAUCGAUUCACUAUGAGACAUAAUAAAUCUUUGUUGCUUUAUAAAACAACUUAAGGAUAGUAAAAGCAAGCUCACGGAAAUGUGUACCCCCACAACAGGCAAAGAGUUUCAAAAAUGCAAGGCGUGCAAAUAGAAAUCCCGUUAUUUGUUUUGUGUUAUGUCGUAAUCUAGUAAUACAAGUUCCUAGUGUUAAAAAAUCUUUUUCGACUGUAUAGGGAACAGUCCGAUAUUAUUGAUCAGUAUCAAUAACCGAGUAGAUUUUCUAUGUUCGUCCUUUUAUACUUUCCUAUAAACACUGAAAAUAUUAGUAGAGAUAGAAAGAUUAGAUGUUAAGAUAUUUUAAGAUAGUGUUAUAAUUUGAAUUGUUUGGGGAUCGGUAAAGACGGACAUGGCUUAAUCGACUUGGCUUUUGAUUACGCUACUAUAAGAUACCGGUUACUGUUUUCCACAAUUUUAAAAUGUUUAAAAUGUUUACUAACUUUUCAUGUGAGGCCUUAUAACCUACAUUUCUU